GGCGGGAUGGCCGAGUGGUCUAAGGCGGAGGAUUUAAGUUUCAAUGUUUAUCAUUGAGCAAACAUGCUUAAACUCCUCUUCUCGAGAGAGAGCGUGGGUUCGAACCCCACUCCCGUCA
Molecule: non-coding RNA, 118 nt
Organism: Podospora fimiseda
Lineage: Eukaryota; Fungi; Ascomycota; Sordariomycetes; Sordariales; Podosporaceae
Source: the annotation of a GenBank genome assembly